AAUUUAAUGUAUGCUUGUCUUGUUGAAUGCACGUUGCUUGCUUAAAUAUUCAUGUUCGAUUUGGUAAUGGAGACUAGGAACAAAUAGGAAUGGGAUUGAAUUGAUAAUUGGAUAAGAUGACAGCAUCACUAGAUAUCCUGGGAGAUGGUGGACGGACCGGGUCCAUAGGGAACCCUACCGGGAACGUUGUCUCAUACCGGAC
This 202-nucleotide long non-coding RNA is filed under the name Carica papaya (papaya). RNAcentral describes it as "long non-coding RNA (CPAP_LNC014387)". Lineage: Eukaryota; Viridiplantae; Streptophyta; Magnoliopsida; Brassicales; Caricaceae. The record is from RNAcentral.